UACAGCCAUGUCGUGUUGAAACAUUGGUUCCUGUAUGAUCAUUGAUGUUAAGCAAUAUCGACCCUGGCCAGUACCUAGAUGGGUGACCACUUGGGAAUAUCAGAUGCUGUAA
Acanthosepion pharaonis is the source of this 112-nucleotide non-coding RNA. Lineage: Eukaryota; Metazoa; Mollusca; Cephalopoda; Sepiida; Sepiidae. The record is from the annotation of a GenBank genome assembly.